Long non-coding RNA from Passer domesticus (house sparrow), 531 nucleotides. RefSeq lists it as uncharacterized. The record is from RefSeq and is a predicted model, not a curated record. Lineage: Eukaryota; Metazoa; Chordata; Aves; Passeriformes; Passeridae. The transcript has 3 exons.
CCCUUCCUUUUUUUUUGUAUCAGGUUCUCAACCCUGGUUACCCAAAAUCUCCAAAGGAUUCCAACAUGGCUUAGCUCAACUGAUAUGCAAACAAACCACCCUGAGCUUGCUCUAAUUAAUAAUUCUGAACCAGACUCACAGAGUGGCACUGUCAAGUAGCUCUUUGGUGAUUUACAACACCUCCUCCGUGAGAUUCACAUUGCUGCAUGCAAAUGAGCUGCCACCCCUGUGAAUCCUUCAUUUUAAAAUACAAUGUGCCGUCUUGUUGACUACAGGAAUGCCCUUAUCUUCACAUAUGACUUAAUGGAGACAAAUGUCUGACUUGGGCAGGUUUGUGGAACCUUUCAUGGACACACACCUACACAGGAUGUCAUUUCAGAAAUGUUUAGGAGGUGAAUUUUGUGUUCACAGUGGAGAAACUGAGGAAAAGACAAGGUCAGAGAAGGUCAGGAAGAUAUGCUACCAGCUGGGGUUGGCAGCAGUGGAUUCAUACAAGGAGACCUCAUUUUCUCUGAAAAAAGACUUCCAAAU